UACGUAGGUGGCAAGCGUUGUCCGGAUUUACUGGGUGUAAAGGGCGUGCAGCCGGGUUUAUAAGUCAGAUGUGAAAUCCCGCGGCUCAACCGCGGAACUGCAUUUGAAACUGUAGAUCUUGAGUACUGGAGAGGCAGGCGGAAUUCCUAGUGUAGCGGUGAAAUGCGUAGAUAUUAGGAGGAACACCAGUGGCGAAGGCGGCCUGCUGGACAGCAACUGACGGUGAGGCGCGAAAGCGUGGGGAGCCAACAGG
This 253-nucleotide ribosomal RNA is filed under the name uncultured bacterium. Its description in RNAcentral is "partial 16S ribosomal RNA". It matches the Rfam family "Bacterial small subunit ribosomal RNA", at positions 524 to 776 of the family's 1533-position model. The record is from RNAcentral.